AGUCGAGGGGUAUAGUAGCAAUACUAGAGACCGGCGCACGGGUGCGUAACGCGUAUGCAAUCUACCUUUUGCAGAGGGAUAGCCCAGAGAAAUUUGGAUUAAUACCUCAUAGUAUAACGACUCGGCAUCGAGAUGUUAUUAAAGUCACAACGGCAAAAGAUGAGCAUGCGUCCCAUUAGUUAGUUGGUAAGGUAACGGCUUACCAAGACUACGAUGGGUAGGGGUCCUGAGAGGGAGAUCCCCCACACUGGUACUGAGACACGGACCAGACUCCUACGGGAGGCAGCAGUGAGGAAUAUUGGACAAUGGGCGCAAGCCUGAUCCAGCCAUGCCGCGUGCAGGAUGACGGUCCUAUGGAUUGUAAACUGCUUUUGCACAGGAAGAAACAACGCUACGCGUAGCGUCUUGACGGUACUGUGAGAAUAAGGAUCGGCUAACUCCGUGCCAGCAGCCGCGGUAAUACGGAGGAUCCAAGCGUUAUCCGGAAUCAUUGGGUUUAAAGGGUCCGUAGGCGGUCUUAUAAGUCAGUGGUGAAAUCUCCCCGCUCAACGGGGAAACGGCCAUUGAUACUGUAGGACUUGAAUUAUUAGGAAGUAACUAGAAUAUGUAGUGUAGCGGUGAAAUGCUUAGAGAUUACAUGGAAUACCAAUUGCGAAGGCAGGUUACUACUAAUGGAUUGACGCUGAUGGACGAAAGCGUGGGUAGCGAACAGGAUUAGAUACCCUGGUAGUCCACGCCGUAAACGAUGGAUACUAGCUGUUGGGCGCAAGUUCAGUGGCUAAGCGAAAGUGAUAAGUAUCCCA
This 803-nucleotide ribosomal RNA is filed under the name uncultured bacterium. RNAcentral describes it as "bacterial SSU rRNA". It matches the Rfam family "Bacterial small subunit ribosomal RNA", at positions 60 to 871 of the family's 1533-position model. The record is from RNAcentral.